This 255-nucleotide ribosomal RNA is filed under the name uncultured bacterium. Its description in RNAcentral is "partial 16S ribosomal RNA". It matches the Rfam family "Bacterial small subunit ribosomal RNA", at positions 524 to 776 of the family's 1533-position model. The record is from RNAcentral.
UACAGAGGGUGCGAGCGUUGUUCGGAAUUACUGGGCGUAAAGCGCGCGCAGGCGGCCUUUUAAGUCUACCCGUGAAAUGCCGGAGCUCAACUCCGUGCACGCCGGGGGAUACUGGGAGGCUGGAGACAGGUAGAGGCAAGCGGAAUUCCGGGUGUAGCGGUGGAAUGCGUAGAUAUCCGGAAGAACACCUGAGGCGAAGGCAGCUCGCUGGGACGUUACUGACACUGAGGCGCGAAAGCGUGGGGAGCGAACAGG